Molecule: transfer RNA, 64 nt
Filed under: Tamarixia radiata
Lineage: Eukaryota; Metazoa; Arthropoda; Insecta; Hymenoptera; Eulophidae
Description: tRNA-Val
Source: RNAcentral
AUAAUUUUAGUUUAAUAUAAAAUAUUUUUAUUACAAAAAAAAGUUAAUUAAUAAUUAAAUUUUA